UGUAUACAUGCUGCCCUUCACUGGCUCUACAGGCAAGAAAGGACAUGACAAGUAGAGGACUCUGAGUUGUCAAGGGCUGCUUAAGCCAGGACACAGCCUGAGAAAAGAGGACAAGGAAAUCAAAGACAACACAAUAGUGACCUUAGAGGAAAUGGUCCUAUCAGGGCAGCAGGAAGGUGAAAGCUGUAGACCCGCCUUGACCUGGGAGCUGUCUGCUUCCAGAGGCUGCCAUGAGCUCCAGGCUUCUCUGCUGUGUGGCCCUGUGUCUCCUGGGAGCAGGCCCAGCAGAUUCUGCAGUCACACAAACCCCCAAAUAUGUGGUCAAAGCAAAAAGCCAGCCAGUGACCCUGAACUGCUCCUAUGAAACUGGACAUUUUAAUGUGUUUUGGUACCAACAGACCCUGAAGCAAGGUCUCCAGUUCCUGUUUCGGUAUAGUGAUGGGAAAGAGAUGGACAAAGGAAGUACCCCUGCCCGGUUCUCAGUGCAGCAGAAGUCCGAGGACCAUCACUCUGAGCUGACUGUGAGCUCCUUGGAGCUGGAGGACUCAGUCCUGUAUCUCUGUGCCAGUAGCAUGGCACAGCCCUGCACCAGCCACAGCCUGGAGCACAAAAACCUUCCUGCCCAGGCCAGGAAGUGA
Erinaceus europaeus (western European hedgehog) is the source of this 638-nucleotide non-coding RNA. The record is from the annotation of a RefSeq genome assembly. Lineage: Eukaryota; Metazoa; Chordata; Mammalia; Eulipotyphla; Erinaceidae.